UCAUUACAUAAUAAUACUGUUUGUAUUAAUAAAAUGCCCAAAACAUAAAACUAAUGCCAACUGGCUAACAUUAUCUUGCAGUGAUAAAUGAACAAAACAAUGCUGGUGGUGUCCACAUUAACACCUUUGCUUGUAGAAUCUUCCUGUGCUUUGGAAUCUGCUGCAUUAUCUCUCUAUUAUAUUGUAUCAACCUGACAGUGUAUAUCUGGAGCACUACUUCAUUCUUCAUCCGCAAAUUAGAAAACAUGUAUUAGCAACUCAAUUAACAUUUUAUAUAUCAACCUUAAAAGAAAACUUGUUUCAAGCAAACUAUAGAUCAAACCAAUUAACAAACUAAAAAGAGAAUGUUAGAUAACAGGGAUGAACUCAAUCAAUCAUCAACGAGUCAGUGACAACAUCAUUGAUGAUCUUGUGGUGAAUCCUAGUUUUAAGCAACUUAACUAUACUAGGACACUUCAAUAUAUAAAAACAUAGCUAUGUCAUAAUUAGUCAUAGAAGUUUAAGCUUAUCUCAAUGGGUAUGCAACCCAAGAAAACAUCAAUGAGUCAGUGACGUUAGUGACAACAUCACCGAUGAUAUUGCAUUGCAUCCUGUGAAAAUCAGCUUAACUAUUCUAGGACAUUUUAAUCUACAAAAACUUUCGUUAUGAGAGAAUUUGUGAAUAAGAACAUAAUCAAGACUAUCUUUGGAUGAACUGCAAAUUGGAAGUGAAUAAUUAGGAGACAGUGUUAUUUAUAAUGCCAGAUGGAGUGAGAGAUUGAGUCUCUAAUAAGUAGUGUCUAGGUCAACUAAUCAAUUAGUCUUGAAAAUUUAGCUGCUUUUGAUUUUUUGGUGGAUCAAGGAGAUGCAAUUCAUAAUAAGGUUAAAAAUUGGGGAUGCAUGUAUGUUUAAGACAAGUUAGUCAAAUAAGUGGCUCAGAUGACAAGUUAAUCAAAAAUACUUUAUGAAGACUAGCACAUGUGGCACACGCGAUGCGUGUGACAAAAAAAAUGUUGAACAAAAGAAAUUGUAACUUUUACAAAUAAAUUAAAUUUGAGGAAAGAAAAUUUUAUUUAUAAAUCAAAAGAAUGAAGUUGACGUAUCAUUAUUCUCACAAAAAAACCAUUAUACAAUUAACAAUAAAACUCAUUAAUUCAUGCUUGUGCAACUAAAAAGUAAAAACAAAAAAAAUUAUGCAACUAAAAAAUAAAUUAAUAUAUGAACUAUAUAACUGAAUAAAAAAUAUUUUUACCUAAAGUAGAAGAAUAGAAUAUUUUGGUAUAUAUUGGCUUCUGGUGACACAAUGGUGACUGAGCUUGUAUCACUAUUUUUGUUGCAAACACCACUGUCCAUUGCAUUUAUGGAUUAACAACAAAAAAACUAUUAAAAAGUAAGAAAUCACAUAGAAUACAACUAAAAGGUAUAGGAAAAUAAAUGUAAUUAC
This 1423-nucleotide long non-coding RNA is filed under the name Panax ginseng (ginseng). RNAcentral describes it as "long non-coding RNA (PGIN_LNC015723)". The record is from RNAcentral. Lineage: Eukaryota; Viridiplantae; Streptophyta; Magnoliopsida; Apiales; Araliaceae.